GGGGACAUAGCUCAGUUGGUAGAGUGCUUACCUUGCAUGCAUCAGGCCCUGGGUUCAAUCCCCAGCACCACCA
RNAcentral lists this transfer RNA (73 nucleotides) under Ictidomys tridecemlineatus (thirteen-lined ground squirrel). RNAcentral's name for it is "Spermophilus tridecemlineatus (thirteen-lined ground squirrel) tRNA". It matches the Rfam family "tRNA". Rfam says of the family: Transfer RNA (tRNA) molecules are approximately 80 nucleotides in length. Their secondary structure includes four short double-helical elements and three loops (D, anti-codon, and T loops). Further hydrogen bonds mediate the characteristic L-shaped molecular structure. tRNAs have two regions of fundamental functional importance: the anti-codon, which is responsible for specific mRNA codon recognition, and the 3' end, to which the tRNAs corresponding amino acid is attached (by aminoacyl-tRNA synthetases). tRNAs cope with the degeneracy of the genetic code in two manners: having more than one tRNA (with a specific anti-codon) for a particular amino acid; and 'wobble' base-pairing, i.e. permitting non-standard base-pairing at the 3rd anti-codon position. The record is from Rfam by way of RNAcentral. Lineage: Eukaryota; Metazoa; Chordata; Mammalia; Rodentia; Sciuridae.